Molecule: ribosomal RNA, 206 nt
Filed under: Escherichia coli
Lineage: Bacteria; Pseudomonadati; Pseudomonadota; Gammaproteobacteria; Enterobacterales; Enterobacteriaceae
Also listed under: 1 other name
Description: partial 16S ribosomal RNA
Rfam family: Bacterial small subunit ribosomal RNA
Source: RNAcentral
GCUAGUAGGUGGGGUAACGGCUCACCUAGGCGACGAUCCCUAGCUGGUCUGAGAGGAUGACCAGCCACACUGGAACUGAGACACGGUCCAGACUCCUACGGGAGGCAGCAGUGGGGAAUAUUGCACAAUGGGCGCAAGCCUGAUGCAGCCAUGCCGCGUGUAUGAAGAAGGCCUUCGGGUUGUAAAGUACUUUCAGCGGGGAGGAA